This 1392-nucleotide ribosomal RNA is filed under the name Triticum aestivum (bread wheat). RNAcentral describes it as "partial small subunit ribosomal RNA". The record is from RNAcentral. Lineage: Eukaryota; Viridiplantae; Streptophyta; Magnoliopsida; Poales; Poaceae.
AUGGGCGCUCCCUCCACCUCGCCGUCGCCGUCGCCCUCCCCGCCGGCGCCGCCCGAGGCCUCCCCGCCGAACGACGAGGGCUCCUCGCCGGAGCUGCCGCUGCUGCGGCUGCGCUGCGGCGUGCAGCAGUACGCGUGGGGCCGGCGCGGCGCCGCCUCCCUCGUCGCGCGCCUCUCCGGAGCCCCCGACCCGGACCCGGCCCUCCCCUACGCGGAGCUCUGGAUGGGCACGCACCCGGCCGCGCCCUCCGCCGUGCUCCCCGGCGGCGAGCCGCUCGGCGCCUGGCUCGCGCGCCGCCCCGCCGCGCUCGGCCCCGCCGUCGCCGCGCGCUGGGCCGGCGACCUCCCGUUCCUCUUCAAGGUGCUGUCGGUGGCGAAGCCGCUGUCGAUCCAGGCGCACCCGGACAAGGGGCUGGCGGAGCUGCUGCACGCCAUGCGGCCGGCCACGUACCGGGACGCCAACCACAAGCCGGAGAUGGCCAUCGCCGUCACCGAGUUCCGCGCGCUCUUCGGCUUCGCCGGCAUCGAGGAGCUCAAGGAUGUUAUAAGGACUGUACCUGAAGUCGGAGGGCUGAUCGGACAUGAAGAUGCUGACAAGCUUAUGACUGUAAAAGAGUAUCAUGGUGGCAAUGAUGUAAAAUCCAGUCUGCAAUCAGCAUUCGCUAAGCUAAUGACAGCAAGUAAAGAAGCAGUUUCCGAAGCAGUUAAUAAAUUGAAGGGUCGCCUGAAUGAUGAGAGCAAGAUUCGAACCUUAACAGAGAAGGAAGAGCUCGUUUUGUCUCUGGAGAGACAGUAUCCAGAAGAUGUUGGUGUUCUAGCCGCCCUUCUCUUCAACUAUGUCAAGCUCAGUCCCGGUGAAGCAAUUUAUAUCGGUGCCAAUGAACCGCACGCAUACCUGUCCGGGGAAUGCAUCGAGUGUAUGGCUACUUCAGACAAUGUGGUUCGCGCUGGUUUGACACCUAAAUACAGAGAUGUGCAGACCCUCUGCUCCAUGCUAACAUACAAACAGAUCUUCCCUGAAAUAUUGAGAGGGGUGCCUGUGCAGCCAUACGUACGACGCUACACCCCUCCGACUGACGAGUUCGAGGUCGACUGCUGCUUGCUGCCUCCAGGUGAAGUGGUUGUCAUGCCACCGGUACCAGGUCCAUCCAUCUUCCUUGUCAUGACCGGGGAGGGCGAGGUUCAGGCAGACUCAAUGUCAGAUGGCGAGAAGGCGAAGGAAGGUGACGUCUUCUUCGUGCCUGCGCACACCGAGGUUAGGCUCUCUGCCUGUGGCCAUGCGUCGAUGCAGCUGUACAGAGCUGGGGUGAACAGCAGAGCAUUGUACGCCUGCAACGCUGCUGCUGCGGGGAAGAGGUCCCAGCUGCAGAACAUAUGCGAAGUGGCGAGUUAG